AUCCAGCUGACGAGACCCAAAUAGGGGGAAACGCGCGUCCUGAAU
Molecule: non-coding RNA, 45 nt
Organism: Schistosoma rodhaini
Lineage: Eukaryota; Metazoa; Platyhelminthes; Trematoda; Strigeidida; Schistosomatidae
Source: Rfam